Molecule: long non-coding RNA, 874 nt
Filed under: Homo sapiens (human)
Lineage: Eukaryota; Metazoa; Chordata; Mammalia; Primates; Hominidae
Description: HSALNT0324801
Source: RNAcentral
GCCAUCUUGAUAAGGGAGUUUCGCAAUAAAGCAUUUGCCGGGUGGGUGACUGAUAGCAAAGCUGUGUUUCCUGGGGAAAAGUGUGGCAUCUUCAGUUUACAUCAACUUGCUCUCAUCUGAGACAAAACUCUGUGUGUCCCUGCUGCGAUGGAUGCCAGAUAGAGCCUGCUUGCCUAGGAUGGGGACAGAUGCCAUUGGAAACAGAUGCUGGUGAGUCCUUCCUCAGAAAUCCGGUCCUUGCACUGCCUGGGAAUACAAACAGAUGCUCUGUGGCACUUCAUUAUUGGAUUGCGAGCACAUUGAUGUUUCAUAAAGGGCAUUGUAGAGUAAUGUUUGCCAUGCUCCAUGCCAAUUGCGGGCUGAGAUUGCUACAGCAUCAUGGAACAGAUGGAAGUUAAAGUCGUAGCUAAGCUCCAGUCUCCAUUUCUUUUGAUGAAGAGCUCCAAAGAUAGCUUUAAGUGAACUUUCAAAGCAAAUUUACAACAGCGGCCAGUACUUUUGCAAGAUCGCUGGAGAGAAUUCAUCAUCAGAAUAGAGAUUGCAAGACCAUCACGAUGACUUCACGUCAGUGCCAGCAUAUGCAGCCGUGGAAUACAGUGAGCGCUCUCUGCGGCUGACAGCAAUAGCGGUGAUCUAAUUUACCCGGCGACUGGAAGAAACUCUUUGUACAGGCUCUGGGUCCCUUUGGAUUAGUGACUUCAAGGUCAACUGGAGGAGAAAGGAAGCAGGGCUGAGGGUCACCCUCUCCUGUCUCAUUUGCAUGCUCUUGAAUAUAUGAUUUUAAGAAACAUGCGUUUUUGAUCUGCAAUGUAAAAAUUCCUCAAUGAUUUUUUGUACAGAUGUGCAGAAUACAGGAAUGAAAUAAAAUAUUGAG